GACGAACGCUGGCGGCGUGCCUAAUACAUGCAAGUAGAACGCUGAAGAGAGGAGCUUGCUCUUCUUGGAUGAGUUGCGAACGGGUGAGUAACGCGUAGGUAACCUGUCUUGUAGCGGGGGAUAACUAUUGGAAACGAUAGCUAAUACCGCAUAACAAUGGAUGACACAUGUCAUUUAUUUGAAAGGGGCAAUUGCUCCACUACAAGAUGGACCUGCGUUGUAUUAGCUAGUAGGUGAGGUAAUGGCUCACCUAGGCGACGAUACAUAGCCGACCUGAGAGGGUGAUCGGCCACACUGGGACUGAGACACGGCCCAGACUCCUACGGGAGGCAGCAGUAGGGAAUCUUCGGCAAUGGGGGCAACCCUGACCGAGCAACGCCGCGUGAGUGAAGAAGGUUUUCGGAUCGUAAAGCUCUGUUGUAAGUCAAGAACGGGUGUGAGAGUGGAAAGUUCACACUGUGACGGUAGCUUACCAGAAAGGGACGGCUAACUACGUG
This 497-nucleotide ribosomal RNA is filed under the name uncultured bacterium. RNAcentral's name for it is "partial 16S ribosomal RNA". It matches the Rfam family "Bacterial small subunit ribosomal RNA", at positions 28 to 507 of the family's 1533-position model. The record is from RNAcentral.